RNAcentral lists this ribosomal RNA (387 nucleotides) under Ulva sp. RNAcentral's name for it is "partial small subunit ribosomal RNA". It matches the Rfam family "Eukaryotic small subunit ribosomal RNA", at positions 582 to 975 of the family's 1831-position model. Lineage: Eukaryota; Viridiplantae; Chlorophyta; Ulvophyceae; Ulvales; Ulvaceae. The record is from RNAcentral.
AUUCCAGCUCCAAUAGCGUAUAUUUAAGUUGUUGCAGUUAAAAAGCUCGUAGUUGGAUUUCGGGUGGGACGCAGCGGUCUCGCAUUGCGUUUGUACUGCUGCAGCCCUCCUUCUUGCCGGGGGCGGCCCUUCGGACUUCACUGUCUGGGGGUCAGAAUCGGCGAUGUUACUUUGAGUAAAUUAGAGUGUUCAAAGCAGGCUUACGCUCUGAAUAUAAUAGCAUGGGAUAACACGACAGGACUCUGGCCUAUCGUGUUGGUCUAUAGGACCAGAGUAAUGAUUAAGAGGGACAGUCGGGGGCAUUCGUAUUCCGUUGUCAGAGGUGAAAUUCUUGGAUUUACGGAAGACGAACAUCUGCGAAAGCAUUUGCCAAGGAUGUUUUCAUCA